AUCUGGGCGGCGGAAUUCAGGAUGGCUGGCGGGCUUCGCGCUCGUCCGGCCGUUUGAUGUUUCCGUCGCCGUGUCGGACGUCGCGACCUGUUCGUCGUCGGUCCCUGCUCGGAGGAAUCGCGAUCGAGUUCGUUGCGCGGUGCGUUUCGGCGUGCCGGGCGGCGAAGACGCGGCUCUCUGGCUGACGGCGGACAGUAAGCAACGGUGUCCGGCGUCGUGUCUCGCACUCGAUGCCGGUGCCGGUCUGCGACGAUUUCUUCGGGCCUCUUUCCGACCCGUCUUGAAACACGGACCAAGGAGUCUAACAUGCGCGCGAGUCGCGGGGUUUCGAGCGUACCACGGUGCGCUCGUUACUUGCGAAACCCGUACGUUGAAGGCGUAAUGAAAGUGAACAGGGAAGAUGGCGUUCCGCGUCCACGUACCGUGAUCGAGUGUCGCGGCCGGACGUCCGCACUCCCGGGGCGUCUCAAUGGCUCGUCGCGGACGCGGACGAUCGUCUUUCGGGGCGGUCGUCGGUCUGCGCCGGACCGAGGCGCACCUAUAGCGUGCACGUUGGUACCCGAAAGAUGGUGAACUAUGCC
RNAcentral lists this ribosomal RNA (581 nucleotides) under Fiorinia proboscidaria. RNAcentral's name for it is "partial large subunit ribosomal RNA". The stretch from base 292 to 581 matches the Rfam family "Eukaryotic large subunit ribosomal RNA", at positions 665 to 837 of the family's 3401-position model. The record is from RNAcentral. Lineage: Eukaryota; Metazoa; Arthropoda; Insecta; Hemiptera; Diaspididae.